Saccostrea echinata is the source of this 208-nucleotide long non-coding RNA. RefSeq lists it as uncharacterized. The transcript has 3 exons. NCBI's taxonomy places the organism in Eukaryota, Metazoa, Mollusca, Bivalvia, Ostreida, Ostreidae. The record is from RefSeq and is a predicted model, not a curated record.
ACUGGUUAAAACUAGCAUUUACAUCAGCUAGAACUAUCAAAAUAGAUGCAUCAAUUUCUCCACUGGCUACAUGUACUCCCAAACAAUUUGAACAAUUCAUUCAGGCAGCAAGUGUUUCCACCAAUAAAAUAAAAAGAAUUGCUUUCAUCCAGAAGAACUGUUUGAACUGUGGACUGUUUGAAAUAUUUUGAACCUGCUCAGAAAUCCC